RNAcentral lists this ribosomal RNA (483 nucleotides) under uncultured bacterium. RNAcentral's name for it is "bacterial SSU rRNA". It matches the Rfam family "Bacterial small subunit ribosomal RNA", at positions 791 to 1268 of the family's 1533-position model. The record is from RNAcentral.
UAGUCCACGCCGUAAACGAUGUCUACUAGCCGUUGGGAAACUUGAUUUCUUAGUGGCGCAGCUAACGCGAUAAGUAGACCGCCUGGGGAGUACGGCCGCAAGGUUAAAACUCAAAUGAAUUGACGGGGCCCGCACAAGCGGUGGAGCAUGUGGUUUAAUUCGAUGCAACGCGAAGAACCUUACCAAGACUUGACAUCCAGAGAAUUUGCUAGAGAUAGCUUAGUGCCUUCGGGAGCUCUGUGACAGGUGCUGCAUGGCUGUCGUCAGCUCGUGUUGUGAAAUGUUGGGUUAAGUCCCGUAACGAGCGCAACCCUUGUCCUUAGUUGCCAGCGAGUAAUGUCGGGAACUCUAAGGAGACUGCCGGUGACAAACCGGAGGGAAGGUGGGGACGACGUCAAGUCAUCAUGGGCCCUUACGUCUUGGGGCUACACACGUGCUACAAUGGGGGAGUACAGAGGGGCAGCGAAAGCGCGAGCUGGGAGC